RNAcentral lists this non-coding RNA (24 nucleotides) under Arabidopsis thaliana (thale cress). Lineage: Eukaryota; Viridiplantae; Streptophyta; Magnoliopsida; Brassicales; Brassicaceae. The record is from RNAcentral.
GAAGAUGCUGCUUCCAAGAUCAAA